UACAGAGGUCUCAAGCGUUGUUCGGAUUCAUUGGGCGUAAAGGGUGCGUAGGCGGCGCGGUAAGUCGGGUGUGAAAUCUUGGAGCUUAACUCCGAAACUGCAUUCGAUACUGCCGUGCUUGAGGACUGGAGAGGAGACUGGAAUUUACGGUGUAGCGGUGAAAUGCGUAGAUAUCGUAAGGAAGACCAGUGACGAAGGCGGGUCUCUGGACAGUUCCUGACGCUGAAGCACGAAGGCCAGGGGAGCAAACGGG
RNAcentral lists this ribosomal RNA (253 nucleotides) under uncultured bacterium. RNAcentral's name for it is "partial 16S ribosomal RNA". It matches the Rfam family "Bacterial small subunit ribosomal RNA", at positions 524 to 776 of the family's 1533-position model. The record is from RNAcentral.